GGUUCGAUCCUGGCUCAGAUUGAACGCUGGCGGGAUGUUUACACACAUGCAAGUCGAACGGCAGCACGGACUUCGGUCUGGUGGCGAGUGGCGAACGGGUGAGUAAUGUAUCGGAACGUGCCCGGAAGUGGGGAUAAUCACGAAAGGUAGCUAUUUACCGCAUACGCCCUUCGGGGGAAAGCGGGGACCUCUGGGCUCCUCACCAUUAGAGUAUUGAUAUCGGAUUAGCUAGUUGGUGGGGUAACGGCUCACCAUGGGCGACGAUCCGUAGCUGGUUUGAGAGGACGACCAGCCACACUGGGACUGAGACACGGCCCAGACUUUGACGGAGGCAGCAGUGGGGAAUUUUGGACAAUGGGGAAACCCUGAUCCAGCCAUCCCGCGUGUGCGAUGAAGGCCUUCGGGUUGUAAAGCACUUUUAUAGGAAAGAAACGGUAUGGGAUAAUACCCCGUGUGCAACUGACGGUACCCGCAGAAUAAGCACCGGCUAACUACGUGCCAGCAGCCAUGGUAAUAGGGUGCAAGCGUUAAUCGGAAUUACUGGGCGUAAAAGCGUGCGCAGGCGGUUCGGAAAGAAAAAGAUGUGAAAUCCCAGAGCUUAACUUUGAACUGCAUUUUUAACUACCGAGCUAUGAGUGUGUCAGAGGGAGGUGGAAUUCAAGCGUGUAGCAGUGAAAUGCGUAGAUAUGCGGAGGAAACACCGAUGGCGAAGGCAGCCUCCUGGGAUAACACUGACGCUCAUGCACGAAAGCGUGGGGAUAAAACAGGAUUAGAUACUCUGGUAGUCCACGCCCUAAACGAUGUCAAUCUGAAGGUUAGACUCUCGGGCUCUCAGCGCAGCUAACGCGUGAAGUUGACCGCCUGGGGAGUACGGUCGCAAGAUUAAAACUCAAAGGAAUUGACGGGGACCUGCGCCGCGUAGAAUACGUGGAUUAAUUCGAUGCAACGCGAAAAAACCUUACUCACCCUUGAUAAGGUCUGGAAUCCCGAAGAGACUUGGGAUGCUCGCAAGAGAACCGGAACACAGGUGCUGCAUGGCUGUCAUCAGGCUGUAAUGAUGUUGGGUUAAGUCCUGGCAACGAGCGCAACCCUUGUCAUUAGUUGCUACGAAAGGGCACUCUAUCGAGACUGCCGGUGACAAACCGGAGGAAGGGGUGGGGAUGACGUCGGGUCCUCAUGGCCCUUAUGGGUAGGGCUUCACAAUGUCAUACAAUGGUCGGGACAGAGGGUCGCCAACCCGCGAGGGGGAGCCAAUCCCAGAAACCCGAUCGUAGUCCGGAUCGCAGUCUGCAACUCGACUGCGUGAAGUCGGAAUCGCUAGUAAUCGCGGAUCAGCAUGUCGCGGUGAAUACGUUCCCCGGGUCUUGCACACACCGCCCGUCACACCAUGGGAGUGGGUUUUACCAGAAGUAGUUAGCCUAACCGUAAGGAGGGCGAUUACCACGGUAGGAUUCAUGACUGGGGUGAAGUCGUAACAAGGUAA
This 1483-nucleotide ribosomal RNA is filed under the name uncultured Bordetella sp. Its description in RNAcentral is "partial 16S-23S ribosomal RNA intergenic spacer". It matches the Rfam family "Bacterial small subunit ribosomal RNA". Lineage: Bacteria; Pseudomonadati; Pseudomonadota; Betaproteobacteria; Burkholderiales; Alcaligenaceae. The record is from RNAcentral.